RNAcentral lists this ribosomal RNA (253 nucleotides) under uncultured bacterium. Its description in RNAcentral is "partial 16S ribosomal RNA". It matches the Rfam family "Bacterial small subunit ribosomal RNA", at positions 524 to 776 of the family's 1533-position model. The record is from RNAcentral.
UACGGAAUGUGCAAACGUUAUUCGGAAUCACUGGGCUUAAAGAGUCCGUAGGCGGCAUGUUAGGUGAGGUGUGAAAUCCCCCGGCUCAACCGAGGAAUUGCGCUUCAAACCGGCGUGCUCGAGGAAGAUAGAGGUGGGCGGAACUGAUGGUGGAGCGGUGAAAUGCGUUGAUAUCAUCAAGAACACCGGAGGCGAAAGCGGCCCACUGGGUCUUUUCUGACGCUGAGGGACGAAAGCUAGGGGAGCGAACGGG